GAUUUACUGUAGCCUGGAAUUGUGUUCGGGCUUCGCUUGCGCAGGAUAGGUGGGAGGCAUUGAAGUAUUCCUUGUGGGAAUAUGGAGCCAACGGUGAGAUACCACUCUGGCGAAGCUAGAAUUCUAACCAUGACCGUAAGCGGUCAGGGAACAGUUUCAGGUGGGCAGUUUGACUGGGGGUCGCCUCCUAAAAGGUAACGGAGGCGCGCAAAGGUUCCCUCAGCACGCUUGGAAACCGUGCGACGAGUGUAAAGGCAUAAAGGGAGCUUGACUGCAAGACCGACAAGUCGAGCAGGUACGAAAGUAGGCUUAGUGAUCGACGGCGCAGAGUGGAAUGGCCGUCGCUCAACGGAUAAAAGUUA
This 362-nucleotide ribosomal RNA is filed under the name uncultured alga. RNAcentral's name for it is "bacterial LSU rRNA". It matches the Rfam family "Bacterial large subunit ribosomal RNA", at positions 2100 to 2461 of the family's 2925-position model. The record is from RNAcentral.